CAUGCAAGUCGAGCGGUAGCACAGAGAGCUUGCUCUCGGGUGACGAGCGGCGGACGGGUGAGUAAUGUCUGGGAAACUGCCUGAUGGAGGGGGAUAACUACUGGAAACGGUAGCUAAUACCGCAUAAUGUCGCAAGACCAAAGUGGGGGACCUUCGGGCCUCAUGCCAUCAGAUGUGCCCAGAUGGGAUUAGCUAGUAGGUGGGGUAACGGCUCACCUAGGCGACGAUCCCUAGCUGGGCUGAGAGGAUGACCAGCCACACUGGAACUGAGACACGUUCCAGACUCAUACGGGAGGCAGCAGUGGGGAAUAUUGCACAAUGGGCGCAAGCCUGAUGCAGCCAUGCCGCGUGCGUGAAGAAGGCCUUCGGCUUGUAAAGCACGUUCAGCGGGGAGGAAGGCGAUGAGGUUAAUAACCUCGUCGAUUGACGUUAACCGCAGAAGAAGCACCGGCUAACUCCGUGCCAGCAGCCGCGGUAAUACGGAGGGUGCAAGCGUUAAUCGGAAUUACUGGGCGUAAAGCGCACGCAGGCGGUCUGUCAAGUCGGAUGUGAAAUCCCCGGGCUCAACCUGGGAACUGCAUUCGAAACUGGCAGGCUAGAGUCUUGUAGAGGGGGGUAGAAUUCCAGGUGUAGCUGUGAAAUGCGUAGAGAUCUGGAGGAAUACCGGUGGCGAAGGCGGCCCCCUGGACAAAGACUGACGCUCAGGUGCGAAAGCGUG
Molecule: ribosomal RNA, 718 nt
Filed under: Klebsiella pneumoniae
Lineage: Bacteria; Pseudomonadati; Pseudomonadota; Gammaproteobacteria; Enterobacterales; Enterobacteriaceae
Description: bacterial SSU rRNA
Rfam family: Bacterial small subunit ribosomal RNA
Source: RNAcentral